UGUUGAUACAAUGCAACAACUUGGAAUAAUCUCUAGAGAAUUACGCCGAAUGGAAAAAAAAAAGCCAAUCUCAAGUUGGUUACAUACUGUAUUAUUCCCUUUAUAUAACAUUCUUGAAAUAAUAAAUAUAAUAAAAAUUAUAGCAAUGAAGAACAGAUUGGUGGACGGUGGCAGGAGGAUAAUGGGUAUGGCGACCAGAAGUCAACAUGAGGGAUCCUUGUGAUUAUGAAAUGUUCUGUAUCUCAACAUUAUCAGUGCCAAUAUCCUGGUUGUGAUACAGUGUCAUAAUUUUUCAAGAUGUAACCAUAGGGGAAAAAUGGGUAAAGGAUAUAUGGCACCUCUCUGUAUUAUUUCUUACAAGUGUAUAUGAAUCUACUAUUAUACAAAGGUUAAAAGCUUAAUUAAAAAAUCAAAUGACCACCAGAAACAGGUUAUUGGGAUAGUCCAGAGGAGAAAGAACAUUGAUUAACACUAUUCGGGUCGUAGUAUAAAUGAAAGAAAUGUGGUUUGGCGUAAUAUAUUGGAGGAACAAUGCACACGAUUUACAAUGGGUUGUUAACGAGGAAGGGAGAUAAAUGGUGAAGAAAUCCCUCCAGAGUUUGGAGUGAAGUAACCAGGUGAACAGUAGCACACUUUAUUUAGAUGGAAAAGCUUGGGACACAAGUAGAAUGAGGAGAAAGAGCGAGAUUUUAAUGUUGGAUUAUUUUUUAAUUUAAAACUCACAUAGGGGAAUAUUUGCUGGCAAAAACUGUGAAGGAGCUUUACAAAAGGCAGGACUAAACGGAACUCAGAAAGGAGAGCGUUCUAAGGAACAAAGAUGAGCAUUUACCUGGACUACUGCUAGAAUAUCCAGCAGGAUGGUAAGUAGACAGUGUCCAGUGGAUUUUCACCAUGGACGUCACGGGUGGCCAUGUCAAGAGCGAUUUUUUUGUAGCGAUUUGGUGGGAGAAGUGAAAGUGUAGUGGAAUAAAGAGUGAAUGUUGGGUGAGAAUUCUGAGUGAGUGUUGAUUGCCACUUUUAGAAGUUUAACUGUGAAGGAACCCAGAAAAACAGGGGUCUUGAAGAGGGCAAUGUGGCCUUAACAGAAUGUUUAAGAUAAGAGUUAGUUAGCAUACUAAAGAAAUGAUUCAGUGAAAACAUAGAAUUUGAAGAGGCUGGAAAGAAAGAUGUAACCAACAGAGCAAAUCCCUUUAAAAGUGAGACUGGAUACAAUAUAGAUCUUUUAUUUCGGGUUUAGCUUUUCUACCAAGAGGAUGGAGAUAUUUUCUAAUAUAAUGCAGCAAAGAAGGGUACAGCGCAGGGCACAUAAUUUUAGUGGGUGGUGUGGGAAGAUGAUUCAGCUCUCACCUAAUGGGAUCUAUUUCUCAGUGAGUUGUUAGGCAAGAUCAUCAAGUUAAGAGAAGGGGGCGUAGAGGCUAGAAGAACAUGGAAGAGACUGGUUAUAGAUGUUGGGGUUUCAGGGAAAAUAAUGUUUAUCAGUUAAUCGAAAUAAUGUUAAUCAAACAUGAACUUAUUGAUUUCUAGUGACUGUGUGCUCAUAACUGCCCAGACGAGUCAGGUUUCUGUCCUUCCCACGUGCCCCAAAACUUUGGCUUGCACAAGUGCUCAAGCAAUAAGGUGCAGAACAUCCCCUGAACAGCUCAUGCAGAGAAACACUUCCUGUUAGUCCCCGGAUCAUGCUGUCUGCUCACGCCUACUGAUACAAGCAAACCCCUUUCCUGCUUGAUUUUGAGGUGCUUGCAGAUCCCAAGGUCAGAGUGUUUCCCUGUUGCAAUAGUCUUUUCCAGUAAACUCUUCCCUUACUAGGUCCAGAUUUCCUUUUGACGCUGGACAAUGUUGAUUGCCCAUUUAGCCUGUAGGUAAUUUUGAAUUCGUGGUGAUACCCAAUAGCCCAAAAUGAGUCAUCUAAGAAGCGACAGCCCUGGGAACAACCCUCCCUGAUUUUCCUUCAUUUUCCUGGUUAGGCAGACUCUCCAGUGAACAAGCUCCCCGACCGACAUUUUGGGUGGGUCGGUUAUUCUGGGUCACCCUUGGAGGUAAAAAUUUCAAACCCCUCCA
This 2058-nucleotide long non-coding RNA is filed under the name Equus caballus (horse). RNAcentral describes it as "lncRNA (ENSECAG00000057218.1)". The record is from RNAcentral. Lineage: Eukaryota; Metazoa; Chordata; Mammalia; Perissodactyla; Equidae.